This is a long non-coding RNA of Neogobius melanostomus (round goby), 1605 nucleotides long. The record is from Ensembl. NCBI's taxonomy places the organism in Eukaryota, Metazoa, Chordata, Actinopteri, Gobiiformes, Gobiidae.
GGCACUGUGGCAAUACUGUAUAUUGUGCAGCUCUAUUGACUAUAUUCACCUAAAUGUUUGCUGAUUGUGUGUGUUCAAAUGAAUGAUUAUAACCUCUGAACCUUGCAGGACGUGUUUAAAGAAGCUGUGUCUCAGAUGGACUCGGUGAAAACAGCUUUGUACACAACAUUCACAGAAACCAUGUCUCAGAACGAGCUUCCUAAAAAGGUAUUUCAUCUGCAGCGUCAUCACAGAACUCUGUCCAUACAGUUAACAAUGUCUCCUUUAGGUCCAGGAUCAUCUGAUCUGCAGCCUGGAGAACCUGCAGCUCGCGCUCUUCCACAGCAACAAACAGGACUUGCGUAGUGCAGCUGUGAUGGACGCUCCAGAGGUCUACAGAGAGCUGCUGUCUGAGUGCUUCUGGUUAUUCAGUCUGAUGGCUCUGAAUAAAACCCCUCUGCAGCCUCAGUGGGACAGCCUCAGUGCAGCCGACCACUGGGACUGUUUCCCUGAUGAACUCACAACACACUUUGCAAGAGAGGACCCAAACAAACCGAGUGAUGUCGAUCGUCUGAACACUGUGUUUACAGUAAGUCUUAUUGAAUCAUGUCAGAGGUUUAUGUACUUAAGCUUUGAAGUCUGUUUCUCGCACAGCAAUUGGAGAAGGACUUUGUGGCACUUUUCAAAGAGCAGCUGAAGAGGUUCCACAGGCUCCUGACCUCAGACAGGAGCUCAGAGAACUCCAGAGAGGAGAACCCAGAGAGAGAAGGGGAGAGCAGCAGAGAGGCUGUGCUCACCAUCACUCUGGACCUCCUGAGGAGGGAGGACAAGGAUCUGGCGGAGCGUCUGAAGAGGCUCCACAUUAUAGGUCGACCAAUAUGGGUUUUGACAAUUUUGGGGGAUUUCUUUGACCGAUGCCGAUUUGCACAGCCAAUAUUUUUGACCGAUAUUUCGGCCAGUUUUUCCAAAUGUCUGGUCUAUAAUCCUGUAACAAACAUAAAUACUAGAAGCCACUUUUACUUUAUUACUGUAGAUGAUUGAAUCAUUGUUUCUAUCCCAGCUUUGAUUACUUUCCAUUAGCACUAGCAUCUUGCCGUUAGCAUUAGCAUACUUUUAGCAUCAAAAAUACAAUUGGGGAGGUUAAAACUAACUCGGCGUUAGAAUUCUCCAGGUUUUGUUUUUUCCAGACAUGAGGCGGGACAGACGGGUACUGCACACUCAAAAACACACUUGUAUUAUUGGGUACAGGUUAAAAACAGUUUAAGCUGUAUGUGCUUCAGUAAACCAGGGAAAUGUCCCCACAGUGACAUGACAACACGGGUUUGCAUGAUGUUACACUGCAAAUUCCUUGUAGCUUAACAAGAUUUAUUGUCUUAAAUCUAGCCAAAUUAUCUUCUCCAUUUUUUUUUUAGCAUUACAAGCUAGUUUCCAGUUUCAUGUGUUAGAUGAUUAGACUUGUUUCAAGUAAAUAUUACUUUUUGUUCUUAUUUAGUCUGUAUAUCUAAAAGUUAGCCAUUUUACAUUUAUUUCAAGCAAAAAAAGUUUUCAGUUGGCAUUUAGAACAAAAAUCUUUCUCAAAAUAAGAAACCUUGAAAUAAUCUUGAAAUAAGAAAGUCAAUCCCAUAU